AAACGCAUUAAGCACUCCGCCUGGGGAGUACGGUCGCAAGACUGAAACUCAAAGGAAUUGACGGGGGCCCGCACAAGCGGUGGAGCAUGUGGUUUAAUUCGAAGCAACGCGAAGAACCUUACCAGGUCUUGACAUCCUCUGACAACCCUAGAGAUAGGGCUUCCCCUUCGGGGGCAGAGUGACAGGUGGUGCAUGGUUGUCGUCAGCUCGUGUCGUGAGAUGUUGGGUUAAGUCCCGCAACGAGCGCAACCCUUGAUCUUAGUUGCCAGCAUUCAGUUGGGCACUCUAAGGUGACUGCCGGUGACAAACCGGAGGAAGGUGGGGAUGACGUCAAAUCAUCAUGCCCCUUAUGACCUGGGCUACACACGUGCUACAAUGGGCAGAACAAAGGGCAGCGAAGCCGCGAGGCUAAGCCAAUCCCACAAAUCUGUUCUCAGUUCGGAUCGCAGUCUGCAACUCGACUGCGUGAAGCUGGAAUCGCUAGUAAUCGCGGAUCAGCA
Molecule: ribosomal RNA, 500 nt
Filed under: Bacillus licheniformis
Lineage: Bacteria; Bacillati; Bacillota; Bacilli; Caryophanales; Bacillaceae
Description: bacterial SSU rRNA
Rfam family: Bacterial small subunit ribosomal RNA
Source: RNAcentral